This 253-nucleotide ribosomal RNA is filed under the name uncultured bacterium. RNAcentral describes it as "partial 16S ribosomal RNA". It matches the Rfam family "Bacterial small subunit ribosomal RNA", at positions 524 to 776 of the family's 1533-position model. The record is from RNAcentral.
UACGUAGGUGGCAAGCGUUGUCCGGAUUUACUGGGCGUAAAGAGCGCGCAGGCGGUCGUUCAAGUCGCGUGUGAAAGCCCCCGGCUCAACUGGGGAGGGUCACGCGAUACUGAUCGACUCGAAGGCAGGAGAGGGUAGUGGAAUUCCCGGUGUAGUGGUGAAAUGCGUAGAUAUCGGGAGGAACACCAGUGGCGAAGGCGACUACCUGGCCUGUUCUUGACGCUGAGGCGCGAAAGCUAGUGGAGCAAACGGG